ACUUGAGCAUAUGAGGUUGCGUUAUCUGCUUGAGUGUAAACGAAAGCAGUGCCUGAAUCCACUGUUGUCACGGAGCUAAAGGCAGUGAAUUCCGUUAAAAUGGUCAGGUUUUGGUAAAGAGUUGGAAACAUCGUGCGGAGAUCCUUUGCAUGGGGUAAUACAGAUCCAGACGUCCAUCCAGAGAUUCAUUGAUUCCCAGUCCGCGUGGCUGGGUGGCGAGCCAACCGUGUUUGAGAAUGAAUCAAGUUGUUUUGGACAAACUGCCCGGAUCAUCCUCUUCAUCUUCGUUGUGGUAGGACAAACACUAACUCAAACUGAAAAAAAAGGGCCCCAACGGUGAAAUUGAAUUCUUGUCAACCAAGGCAAGUCGAACCGAGAACGAACUGAGCUCAAAGAAACUGAAAAGAGAGGGUUUUGUUUUGUUUAUGUGCGCACUUUAUUAUUUUAGUUUGUUAUUUUUCACAAAUGUGUUUUUUUUUAUUGUAUGUAUGUUCCACCUGUGAAUUUAAUA
Non-coding RNA from Paramisgurnus dabryanus, 511 nucleotides. Lineage: Eukaryota; Metazoa; Chordata; Actinopteri; Cypriniformes; Cobitidae. The record is from RefSeq and is a predicted model, not a curated record.